GGAAGAUGAAGGUGGCUGUGCUCAGCAUAGCCCUGCUCUUCUCCAUCCUGCUGUGCCCCCGGGCACAGGCCAAGGCACUCCUGGAAGGAACCCAAGAUGAUCUCCGGGAGUUGGAUUUAGACAAUGUUGUGGUCCUGGAGACGCCUCUG
Molecule: long non-coding RNA, 149 nt
Organism: Zonotrichia leucophrys gambelii
Lineage: Eukaryota; Metazoa; Chordata; Aves; Passeriformes; Passerellidae
Exons: 3
Source: RefSeq, a predicted model, not a curated record